Rhipicephalus microplus (southern cattle tick) is the source of this 1439-nucleotide unclassified non-coding RNA. Lineage: Eukaryota; Metazoa; Arthropoda; Arachnida; Ixodida; Ixodidae. The record is from RefSeq and is a predicted model, not a curated record.
CGGGCACCCUCGUUGCCUUCCAAGCCGGCGAGACCUUCAGCGGCACCCCGUCGACUCUCCCACGUGACCCAAGAGCAGGGCCUGAAUUCAAGAACCGAACACUCCGAGAUAACGGAACGUUUCGAUAAGGCCAUUCUUGGGACUACAAGAGGCGAUACGUUCGCACUAGCUUACCUCGUCUAAGGAGCGGCUGGUACAGAAGUGACAAUGAGCUAUCCCGGCGACAGAGCGGAGAAUAGAUUUCGGAUGGAGCAAGUGCCUCCGGCAUCGAAUGGCCAUGCGUACGCACCACCACCGGACUAUGGAGACACACCUUCAACCAUCCUCAACACCCCGUCGACUCCUGGAUUCACGACGGCGCCCCCUAUUCAAGAAGGCGACUGGUGGACGCAGACCAAGCUGUGGUACAGGCAGCAGUAUAAAAAGGCUGACCCUGUGCUUCCAGCGGUGCCGGCUUCACUAGGCCUAGCUGCGACUGCUGCGUCCCUGGCGGGCAAUCUGACUGGUGCUGGAAUGGUGAUGAUCCCGUUUGCUUUCGUAUGGAUAGGAUGGAGCGCCAUCUUUUGGCUUCCGGUGUUCGGAGUUCUCACAGUCUUUAGCGCGGGCCUGCUCGAGUCAUGCUGCGAAACGCUGGAAGAGCGUCACGAGGAGUACCGCCGGUUCCACUGGUACACGCAGUACUCGGACAUUGCGAACAGAGCCGUGGGACCAGGGCUAUCGAAGGUUGUGGGUGCCCUGCGAUUGUUCUGCGUCGUGGGACUUUGGGCUGUGCUCAUUGUGAUCGUGUCGGCCACUAUGGUUGACUUCGUGGCCCUCAUCCUACCAGUGCCAGUACCAAGGGGACACUUAUACUGCGGAUUCGUUGUUGGCUGUGGAGUGCUGUUCGUCCUCUCCAGUGGUUACCACGGCAACCUACUGCCGAUACUGGUGCGGCGUGCUAAACACGCCGGUGGCUGUGGUGCUCAUGAUUCUGUUGCUCACUGGCAUCGCGGGCAACAAGAAGAUGGCUGCAGGAACCGGCGAGGCAAUGUUUACCAUAAAGCUGUUCGACCUCGGCUCUCUCAUCGGGGACGUCUCUGGCCUGUCCAAGGGCGUCAAGGACGUUACCAGCGCCCUAUACUUUGUCAGUCUCGGGAUUUUGGUCUUCAAUUUCGCCGGCGUGUGCGAAUUCACAAACAUUCGACGUGACAUGAAGGCACCGCCUUCUUUCACCAAGGCUGCUGCCUUCGGAGUUGCUGGGAGCACGCUGGCUUUAUUCAUCGUUGGCGUAACUGCCUACGCGGUCCUUUACCCGUUCAACGGAAACGUCGUGCUGAUUCUCAACACACGAAACGUCCGGAUCGCAGCCCACUUCUUCACUGUGACGUGCAUGGGGCAGGUGUCGAACCUCAGCGACCUCAUACUGGGAGAAUACGACCACGUAGAAGAUUACGGAAAAC